This 463-nucleotide ribosomal RNA is filed under the name uncultured bacterium. RNAcentral's name for it is "bacterial SSU rRNA". It matches the Rfam family "Bacterial small subunit ribosomal RNA", at positions 331 to 792 of the family's 1533-position model. The record is from RNAcentral.
CCAGACUCCUACGGGAGGCAGCAGUGAGGAAUAUUGGUCAAUGGUCGGGAGACUGAACCAGCCAAGCCGCGUGAGGGAUGAAGGUACAGAGUAUCGUAAACCUCUUUUGUCAGGGAACAAAGGCGGGGACGUGUCCCCGGAUGAGUGUACCUGAAGAAAAAGCAUCGGCUAACUCCGUGCCAGCAGCCGCGGUAAUACGGAGGAUGCGAGCGUUAUCCGGAUUUAUUGGGUUUAAAGGGUGCGCAGGCGGAGGUGCAAGUCAGCGGUCAAAUUGCGGGGCUCAACCCCGUACUGCCGUUGAAACUGGCAGUCUCGAGUUGGAGAGAAGUAUGCGGAAUGCGCGGUGUAGCGGUGAAAUGCAUAGAUAUCGCGCAGAACUCCGAUUGCGAAGGCAGCAUGCCGGCUCCACACUGACGCUGAGGCACGAAAGCGUGGGUAUCGAACAGGAUUAGAUACCCGAGUA